Molecule: ribosomal RNA, 263 nt
Filed under: unidentified marine bacterioplankton
Lineage: Bacteria
Description: partial 16S ribosomal RNA
Rfam family: Bacterial small subunit ribosomal RNA
Source: RNAcentral
ACGGGAGCAAUCCUGGUGGCGAGUGGCGAACGGGUGAGUAAUAUAUCGGAACGUGCCCAGUCGUGGGGGAUAACGCAGCGAAAGCUGUGCUAAUACCGCAUACGAUCUCUGGAUGAAAGCGGGGGACCUUCGGGCCUCGCGCGAUUGGAGCGGCCGAUAUCAGAUUAGCUAGUUGGCGGGGUAAAAGCCCACCAAGGCGACGAUCUGUAGCUGGUCUGAGAGGACGACCAGCCACACUGGAACUGAGACACGGUCCAGACUCC